AGUAGUUGAUCAGUGGCGUCGAGGACGACGCUGGCGGCGUGCUUAACACAUGCAAGUCGAACGGUAAGGCCCUUCGGGGUACACGAGUGGCGAACGGGUGAGUAACACGUGGGUGAUCUGCCCUGCACUUCGGGAUAAGCCUGGGAAACUGGGUCUAAUACCGGAUAGGACCAUGGACUUCACGGUUUGUGGUGGAAAGCUUUUGCGGUGUGGGAUGGGCCCGCGGCCUAUCAGCUUGUUGGUGGGGUAAUGGCCUACCAAGGGCGACGACGGGUAGCCGGCCUGAGAGGGUGUCCGGCCACACUGGGACUGAGAUACGGCCCAGACUCCUACGGGAGGCAGCAGUGGGGAAUAUUGCACAAUGGGCGCAAGCCUGAUGCAGCGACGCCGCGUGAGGGAUGACGGCCUUCGGGUUGUAAACCUCUUUCAAUAGGGACGAAGCGCAAGUGACGGUACCUAUAGAAGAAGCACCGGCCAACUACGUG
This 485-nucleotide ribosomal RNA is filed under the name uncultured bacterium. RNAcentral describes it as "bacterial SSU rRNA". It matches the Rfam family "Bacterial small subunit ribosomal RNA", at positions 33 to 507 of the family's 1533-position model. The record is from RNAcentral.